AUUGAACGCUGGCGGCAUGCUUUACACAUGCAAGUCGAACGGUAACAGGCCGCAAGGUGCUGACGAGUGGCGAACGGGUGAGUAAUGCAUCGGAACGUGCCCAGUCGUGGGGGAUAACGCAGCGAAAGCUGCGCUAAUACCUCAUACGAUCUCCGGAUGAAAGCGGGGGACCGCACGGCCUCGUGCGAUUGGAGGGGCCGGUGUCAGAUUAGGUAGUUGGUGGGGUAAAGGCCCACCAAGCCAACGAUCUGUAGCUGGUCUGAGAGGACGACCAGCCACACUGGGACUGAGACACGGCCCAGACUCCUACGGGAGGCAGCAGUGGGGAAUUUUGGACAAUGGGCGCAAGCCUGAUCCAGCAAUGCCGCGUGCAGGAAGAAGGCCUUCGGGUUGUAAACUGCUUUUGUACGGAACGAAACGGUCCGGGCUAAUACCCUGGGCUAAUGACGGUACCGUAAGAAUAAGCACCGGCUAACUACGUGCCAGCAGCCGCGGUAA
Molecule: ribosomal RNA, 498 nt
Filed under: uncultured bacterium
Lineage: Bacteria
Description: partial 16S ribosomal RNA
Rfam family: Bacterial small subunit ribosomal RNA
Source: RNAcentral